Molecule: long non-coding RNA, 481 nt
Organism: Lepus europaeus (European hare)
Lineage: Eukaryota; Metazoa; Chordata; Mammalia; Lagomorpha; Leporidae
Exons: 3
Source: RefSeq, a predicted model, not a curated record
UUUGUUUCAAUUUUAUUUCUUCUUUAAUUUUAAGAAUUUUUUUCCUCAUACUAAUUUGUGAUUUGGUUUAUUGUUUUUCCAGGUUUGGAAUGGAUUGUUAGAUCAUUUGAUCCUUUUCUGAUUUCUUGAGCUUGCACAUUGUAUCCAAGGACGUGGACCAGGGAUAGAGGCUUAUGAUUACUGUGUGCAAGAACUCUCCUCUUGAGGAUCAAAGCAUCUGACAAGGAAGCUCUCCUAGAUUAAGUCCUCAAGCACCUUUCCCAAUAACAAGCAAGAGAAGCUGCUCUUCUGGGGAAGCAAAUGUGCUCCUCUUAAAGGAUACUUAAGUCCAACACUGGAGGAAGCGUAACUGAAAGAGCCCACAGCUGAGAUCAAGGCAUAACAACACUUGCUUCCAUGUGAAAAUGAUUAAGCAUACUGUCUUCAUUGGGUAAAAGUCAUCAUGAUGUGGACCAGGGACCUCUGUGUCUCCAAGUGUAUU